RNAcentral lists this ribosomal RNA (193 nucleotides) under uncultured bacterium. RNAcentral describes it as "partial 16S ribosomal RNA". It matches the Rfam family "Bacterial small subunit ribosomal RNA", at positions 337 to 522 of the family's 1533-position model. The record is from RNAcentral.
UCCUACGGGAGGCAGCAGUGGGGAAUUUUAGACAAUGGGCGCAAGCCUGAUCCAGCCAUGCCGCGUGCAGGAUGAAGGCCUUCGGGUUGUAAACUGCUUUUGUACGGAACGAAACGGCCUUUUAUAAUAAAGAGGGCUAAUGACGGUACCGUAAGAAUAAGCACCGGCUAACUACGUGCCAGCAGCCGCGGUA